CACCCGAUGGCACAAUGGUUAGUGCGUCUGCAAACCAUUAUUGUUUAGAGUAAAUGGUUCUAGGCAGAAGUUUCCCGUUCGAUUCGGGAUCGGGUGA
Non-coding RNA from Mycena crocata, 97 nucleotides. NCBI's taxonomy places the organism in Eukaryota, Fungi, Basidiomycota, Agaricomycetes, Agaricales, Mycenaceae. The record is from the annotation of a GenBank genome assembly.